RNAcentral lists this unclassified non-coding RNA (1504 nucleotides) under Hevea brasiliensis (rubber tree). Lineage: Eukaryota; Viridiplantae; Streptophyta; Magnoliopsida; Malpighiales; Euphorbiaceae. The record is from RNAcentral.
ACCUGAAUGAUAGUACUAAUCUCACUUCUUUGAAUUCCAUAUUGUACAUGAUCUGACUCUGAUGAGAUCAAGUAUCCAUGAAGCUGUUCAAACAACAUCCAUUACCAAUAUAACAUAAAACUUCCUGGCUUAAUCCAGGGAAGAAUAGUAAAAUAUCUUGUGAAAGCACUAGCCUUUGAAAUGGUACAGGCCAACAUGUCACCAAAGUAAAGAACCAGACCCGUAGUCACCAAAAGUGCUUCCCCUAAAAAAACCCAGAACAGAAAGAAUUACAGAGAAAAGAAUUGGCAAGGCCUUAAUGAAACAGAGAAAAUCAUAAAUAAAAUUACAUCUACAAGUGCAGAAAUGAACUUUUAGAAAUUUAUUGGCACAGAAAUUAACUUCAGCUACUAAUCACUUGUGAAAUGUAUCUUGAUGGCAAUAAAGUCACUAUAAUGUAUAGCGUUCGCUAGCAAAGAGCCAAGGCCCCUAUAUUUUGUAUCAAAGAACUGAACAGUUGUCAGUAAACCAUAAAUUACAGCAUGCAGCAAUGACAUAUUUCAAUCCAUUUUAUGCAAGAGAAGGAACACAACGAGUUUUGUAAUUGUAUAAAAUUAUUUAACCCUAUAUAUAUAAUACUGUUGGAAUAAACAAUAACCACUAAAGCAAAGCAGAAUUAUUUUAGCAUAGACACACAUACCAAUGGAAGCACAUGAUGGAAAGGUAUUAAGUAGAUGCUGCACUAAUUUCACAGCUGCAAAUCCAUGAAAGAGCACCCACAGUAGUUUUAAUGUUGUUUGCAUCCCAGUACCAGACAAAAUGAACAGUGCUGCAGAUAAAACAAUGCAACUUAAACCAAACUUAGCACCCCAUGACCAAUGUGGAGGGGAGGGAGCAUUGUCCAGUGAAUGCCGCAUGACAAAGCAGAGGAAGAUAAGCACACUGAAGCAGCUAGCAUAUGUUGCCCAGUACUGGAUCGCCAGAUAAUUAAGUUCUUCAAAUUCAAUUUCAUGAAAUGAGAAGGCUCUUGACAGCUGUAUCAACUUAGAGAGCAUAACAGCAGAUAAUGUGACCGCACCAAGCAAAAUCCCCGAGGAAGCACCAGGCCUGGUUUUGAAUUGAGAAAUGGAAGAGGAGGAAAUAUCCACUCGUAUCUCGACGUAGAGAGCGAAGAUAGCGAGGAGAGAGAGAGCGACGCCGUGGAGGAGUAGAGAGAGUGGGAGAGAGAAGAGCACACAACCGAUGAAAAGUAUAACCACGGUUCUCUCGCCAUUGAGGUACGGCGAGAAGCAGACAAUCAUGGCGGCUAAAUAUCUAUCUGCUUGUGAUUUGCAGAAUGGAGGAAAAUUAUGAAGAAGAGGAUCAAAAUUGGAAGAGAAGGGAGAGAUUAUUUAAAAUGGAAAAUAGUGGAAAUUGUUUUCGCGGGAAGAAUUUUCUUACGGGGAGGCUUCUGUGAAGAACAGGGGGCGGCCUAGCGCGUGUUGGAGUGCAAGCUGGCCCUUCCCGUUUCGUAGCUAGGUCUGAU